RNAcentral lists this ribosomal RNA (253 nucleotides) under uncultured bacterium. Its description in RNAcentral is "partial 16S ribosomal RNA". It matches the Rfam family "Bacterial small subunit ribosomal RNA", at positions 524 to 776 of the family's 1533-position model. The record is from RNAcentral.
GACGAACCACCCAAACGUUGUUCGGAAUUACUGGGCGUAAAGCGCGUGUAGGCGGCGGCGUGUGUCGGGCGUGAAAUCCCAUGGCUCAACCAUGGAAGUGCACCCGAAACUGCGCAGCUAGAGUCCUGGAGAGGAAGAUGGAAUACUUGGUGUAGAGGUGAAAUUCGUAGAUAUCAAGUGGAACACCGGUGGCGAAGGCGGUCUUCUGGACAGUGACUGACGCUGAGACGCGAAAGCGUGGGGAGCAAACAGG